GCAGGUACGUGUAGAAAAAAGAUCAAAUUAGUCCGCUAUUUCGCGCAAAAGAAGAAUUGAUCCGUCAUUGGAGGUUCUUGCAGACUGGGUUGCAGUUGAUUGAUCAUUUCUUGUUUGUUCCUGUUCUUAAGUGGUAGACCAUGCGUUUGAACAAGCAUAAUGGCCAGUCCAUGUGGGGCGACACGGUUCAUACGCAGCGAGCCAUCCAACAUCGAUGAUUAGGCGAUGCUACAUAGUAAUAGAUUAAAUUUUCCCUAAAGCGCUCUAAAAAGUGCCCCUACACUGAGCAUGACCUUUUCCUCUUCUCUGGUUCUGGUGUAUCUUCCUUUUCUUGCUUCGUGCGAUGUGCAGAAUGUAGAGGCCACAACAACUGCAAUAAUGUGUGCCACCACCAAACUCUGUUAAGAAGUAAGAAAAUUAGCAACAUAAUUUUUUUAUGGUUGUACUUGUUGUCUUCGAGGAAGAAUGGCAAGCGGAAGAAGCUAGAUGCUACCGGGGAGAGAAAUACACACUCUUUGCAACAUCCCAACAGCUUAGCAAGAUAGAGUAAUUUUUUUCAGCACCUUGUCAUUCUAGAGUUGAUGUACACUUUCUUACCUGUUAAUGACUUGUAAUGGUGCCGAUCAGUCCUGUAGCUUAACUCCUUUGUUUUUAUUUAAUCCAUCCAUCUUACUCUUAUAAUUUCUUGUUUUAUUUUCCAAGAGAAUUGCAGUUCGUACCAUCUUACAGGCCAUAGAUUUUUCAUGUAUUCGUACUGUACAGUGAUAGUUAGAAAUAUCCCUUUAAUUUUGCAAAUUUCUUUUACUAGCGUUUGAUUAAUUUUCCAUUUUUUCCAUUGUAUCUUGAAUUACAGAGUUUUGAGUAUUUCCUGAGUGACAACAGUCAGCACACAGAAAUGGCAUCAGAAGCUAGACAAGCAAUCAGAGAAAUCGGGUGAAAACAAGAGAAAAGUUGCAUUUAUUCCCCUGAGCCUGAAGGUUAUGGUUUUCUUUCGUGAUUCGUCCGGUAUGAUUUCCUACUUUUAAUAGUAUUAGUACUGAAACUUGCUAUUUUAUUCCAGGAGAAUGUUACAAUUGCAUCUGAUUUUGACAUGACCGUUUGAGGCAGUAAUAAAAUUGCUAAUGGCAAUGUCAUUAAAUGUGCACGAUGUUCUCUUCUAUGCUUUAUUGACUUUUUUUUUUACUGUCUGGACAUUUCUACCUUUGAACAGUUUUGUGACACCUGCCUAGGUAUAUCCAAGAAGCUGAAGGCGUUGAUAGCUUUUCUUGAUUAGAUUGCCUUAUGUUUUUUCUUUACAGUUAAAUCAUACAUGUUCAUCUUAGUACUAUUCCUGAUGGGCAAUGUGUAGACGAUCUCAGCUAACUGCUUGCUUGCAAUCUUAUGGACAACUUAAUUACUAUUUCUUAUUUUAUGAGGCUCUGUGUGAACCUUAUACAAGUAUUGUUGUUUGGCAGGUGAAAUACUAGCUUGAUGAGCCAGGUCCGCCUACUUAUACUUGAUGUUGUUGUGCUUGCAAUAUAUUUUUCUUGCUUCGGUGCAUAAUAUGUUCAGAAAUACUUGGUUCAUUUCGAUCACUGCCUCUGUGUACGUUAUACAAGUGUUGUUGUUUGGCAUGUGAAAUACUAGCUUGAUGAGCCAGACUGGACAACAUUGAUGGACUUCUACGCGGAUGCAUAGAACGAUGACGCGGAAGAAAAGGGCAUCGGCUUGCAGCAAAAUAGCAGAGGGGGAGUGACAUGCUCGUUUCUUUGGGAUUUUAUUCAGGGACUGCUCACAGACACUAUGGCUGCUCGACAGGUACACCUGCUCAUGCAAUUUUACCGUUCUGUAAAUUUAUUCUAUUCUAUACUAUCCGCAAGUAGUUCAACUUUUAAUCCCAGAGACCCAGACAAAUACGUACCGGUGAGAGCCAGAGAGGAUGCAUCCCUGGAGAGUUGCGUGGGGAAGCAUAGCUACAAUUUGAGGCAACAUAUUAACCAGGAACAAGUAAGAUGAGUGAUGAGGGGAGGAUUAGCUUGAGGAUGAAGUUUAUGGGCAAUCUGAAGAGUGCCCUCAUGAGAUAAAUUUAUGGACUGUCUGAACUACAAUGCUCUCAGAAUUAUUUUUUUGUAUCGAUUCCCUUCUAUUAGAAAAAUAGGAAAACAACAUCGCUUCUGGAAACUGUGUAUAAACCUUAUUGUAACUUCCUAGCUAUGACUUCUCCUGUAAUGUUCUGAAAUAAUAUAGGCUAAUGUUAUGCAGUCAUGGUGCUGUUGGCACUAGAAUGAAGUGUGCGUUUUCUUUUGAAUAAACCGUACUGUUGUAUUUCCUUAAUGAUAUAACUUGAUGAUACAACUUCUUUUCAAA
Long non-coding RNA from Lolium rigidum, 2346 nucleotides. RefSeq lists it as uncharacterized. The record is from RefSeq and is a predicted model, not a curated record. The transcript is spliced from 4 exons. Lineage: Eukaryota; Viridiplantae; Streptophyta; Magnoliopsida; Poales; Poaceae.